AUUGCUCAUCUGAGCUGACCAUAUAAUCGUAUCAGGUUACCCGUCCGGGCUAAACCUUUAUAUGAAUACAUCAGUUGCUCGUUCGAACUGAGCAUAUAAUUGUGUCAGGUUACCUGUCCGAGCUAAACCUUAAUGUAGACACAUCAAAUAGCUUGGCCAAAGUUGUAUAUAUACAUGUCAGGUUACUCGUUAGGGCUAAACCUUUAAAACGACAUCAUGUUAUUCGUUCGAUCUAAACUUGUGUCACAUGUAUCUUCGAGUCCGCAACAAAUGCUGGAGCUCUGUAAUCAUCAGUAAUCAUUCUGUAUCCAUGUGUACAAGACAUUUAUGAAGUUUCAUCAGGGUAAUUCCAACAUAUAAGUUCAUAUUUAUUUCUUUACAAGAUAGUCUAAUUCUCACCUUUUGUACUAAAUUGUAAACAUUCCAAAUUUCAAUUAAUAAACAUAUAUUUAUACUUCAGAUACAAAAAAAUUAAAAACAUAAUUAUACCAUAUGAACUUACCUGAAAAAAUCAACAAACAAGUUGAAUCACAAGGACUAAUUGAUAAUUUUAUCUUUUUCCCGAUUAUCCUUGGUUCGGUUCAGUUCUCAAUCUAAAAUAAUAAUACAGUUCAAUUUAUCAAUACCAAUCAUUUCAUAAUAUUCCCUAUCAUGCAUGAGUCAGUUCAAUUUCAUCUUUUGAAUGCUCCUACAAUUUUAUAUUUUAUUCAAUUUAGUCCCUAAAAUUGAAAUUGCUAUAAAUUUAAAAUGUGAGCCUCGAUUACGAAACCGAUCUGAAUUACAUCCUUCUAUAACCCUCUAUUAUCAAUAAUUAUAGGAAUCUUUCAUCAAUUUCAAAAUUUAUGCGCUUUAGUCCUUAUGUUCAAAAGCUAGCAAUUAUACUUUGAAAACUAGUCUUUUUUAACUUCUAAGCUUAAAAUAUAACAAUUAUGUACCAAUUUCAUCAAGUAUUCAUCAAUGGAAACUUUUAAAAACUUUAACAGUUUGCAAAUUGGUACACGAGUUAGCUAAAUCAAGCUCCCAAGACCUCAAAAACAUAAAAAUUACAAGAAACGAACUUGUAUACUUACCAAAUUAGAAGACCGAAUGCUUAAGUUGAUAAAAAAAAUUGCUUCCUAGUUUUCUUGGUAGUUUCGGU
RNAcentral lists this long non-coding RNA (1138 nucleotides) under Gossypium raimondii (Peruvian cotton). Its description in RNAcentral is "long non-coding RNA (GRAI_LNC000465)". The record is from RNAcentral. Lineage: Eukaryota; Viridiplantae; Streptophyta; Magnoliopsida; Malvales; Malvaceae.